RNAcentral lists this ribosomal RNA (443 nucleotides) under uncultured bacterium. RNAcentral describes it as "partial 16S ribosomal RNA". It matches the Rfam family "Bacterial small subunit ribosomal RNA", at positions 338 to 795 of the family's 1533-position model. The record is from RNAcentral.
CCUACGGGCGGCAGCAGUGGGGAAUAUUGCACAAUGGGCGAAAGCCUGAUGCAGCAACGCCGCGUGAAGGAAGAAGGGUUUCGGCUCGUAAACUUCUAUCAACAGGGACGAAAGAAAUGACGGUACCUGAAUAAGAAGCCCCCGCUAACUACGUGCAAGCAGCCGCGGUAAUACGUAGGGGGCAAGCAUUAUGCGGAAUUACUGGGUGUAAAGGGUGAGUAGGCGGGAUGGUAAGCCUGAUGUGAAAGCCUUGGGCUUAACCCGAGGAUUGCAUUUGGAACUAGCAAGCUAGAGUACAGGAGAGGAAGGCGGAAUUCCUAGUGUAGCGGUGAAAUGCGUAGAUAUUAGGAAGAACACCAGUGGCGAAGGCGGCUUACUAAACUGAGACUGACGCUGAUGCACGAAAGCGUGGGGAGCGAACAGGAUUAGAUACCCGAGUAGUC